This 340-nucleotide ribosomal RNA is filed under the name Oncomelania hupensis quadrasi. RNAcentral's name for it is "Oncomelania quadrasi partial large subunit ribosomal RNA". Lineage: Eukaryota; Metazoa; Mollusca; Gastropoda; Littorinimorpha; Pomatiopsidae. The record is from RNAcentral.
AAUCAUUUGCCCUAUAAUUGAGGGCUAGUAUGAAUGGUUUGACAUGAGCAUAGCUGUCUCCUUAAAAUUUUAUAAAAUUUGGUUUUUAGGUGAAGAAACCUAAAUUAAAUUGAAAGACAAGAAGACCCUAUCGAGCUUUAGAAUAGUUAAUUAAAAAAUAUAAAUAAAAUAAUUAAUUUUAAUUAAAAACUUUGGUUGGGGCGACUGAGGAACACACAAAGCUUCCUUAAUUAGACAAUGCUAAUAAGCGAUGAUCCAGAAAAUCUGAUUAAAAAAAUUAGUUACCGUAGGGAUAACAGCAUAAUCUUUUUUAAGAGCUCUUAUCGAAAAAAAGGUUUGU